This 497-nucleotide ribosomal RNA is filed under the name uncultured bacterium. RNAcentral's name for it is "partial 16S ribosomal RNA". It matches the Rfam family "Bacterial small subunit ribosomal RNA", at positions 28 to 507 of the family's 1533-position model. The record is from RNAcentral.
GAUGAACGCUGGCGGCGUGCCUAAUACAUGCAAGUCGAGCGAACGGACGAGAAGAUUGCUUCUCUGAUGUUAGCGGCGGACGGGUGAGUAACACGUGGAUAACCUACCUAUAAGACUGGGAUAACUUCGGGAAACCGGAGCUAAUACCGGAUGAUAUUUUGAACCGCAUGGUUCAAAAGUGAAAGACGGUCUUGCUGUCACUUAUAGAUGGAUCCGCGCUGCAUUAGCUAGUUGGUAAGGUAACGGCUUACCAAGGCAACGAUGCAUAGCCGACCUGAGAGGGGGAUCGGCCACACUGGAACUGAGACACGGUCCAGACUCCUACGGGAGGCAGCAGUAGGGAAUCUUCCGCAAUGGGCGAAAGCCUGACGGAGCAACGCCGCGUGAGUGAUGAAGGUCUUCGGAUCGUAAAACUCUGUUAUUAGGGAAGAACAUAUGUGUAAGUAACUGUGCACAUCUUGACGGUACCUAAUCAGAAAGCCACGGCUAACUACGUG